RNAcentral lists this ribosomal RNA (270 nucleotides) under Diversispora epigaea. Lineage: Eukaryota; Fungi; Glomeromycota; Glomeromycetes; Diversisporales; Diversisporaceae. The record is from RNAcentral.
CAGUCGCGUUGGCUAGAAAUCAACAUUGCUCUUGCCUUGUGUAUUUUCUGGUUGACGGGUCAGCAUCAAUUUUGACCAUUGGAUAAAGGCAUUGGGAAUGUGGCAUCUCAGGAUGUGUUAUAGCCCAUUGUUGCAUACGGUGAUUGGGAUUGAGGAACUCAGCACGCCGCAAGGCCGGGUUUCGACCCACGUUCGUGCUUAGGAUGCUGGCAUAAUGGCUUUAAGUCGAACCCGUUCUUGAAACACGGACCAAGGAGUCUAACAUAUGUG